AUCUCAAGAUCAGGAGAGAUUCCAUGAUCAGGAAGGUGGUUUUCCCAGGGUAAGGCUCAUCUAUUGCCUUCUGAGUGUGUUGACCCUGUGAUUUCCUCAAAUUCAAGAAAAUCAACUCCAUAAUUUGUGGUAAUGGGGGGCUGCAUUCGAGCUCUCCCCUU
Molecule: small nuclear RNA, 161 nt
Organism: Peromyscus maniculatus bairdii (prairie deer mouse)
Lineage: Eukaryota; Metazoa; Chordata; Mammalia; Rodentia; Cricetidae
Gene: U1
Rfam family: U1 spliceosomal RNA
About the family: U1 is a small nuclear RNA (snRNA) component of the spliceosome (involved in pre-mRNA splicing). Its 5' end forms complementary base pairs with the 5' splice junction, thus defining the 5' donor site of an intron.
Source: Ensembl